CACGUAAGGUGCGAGCGUUGUCCGGAAUUAUUGGGCGUAAAGAGCUCGUAGGCGGUGUGUCGCGUCGGCCGUGAAAACCUGCAGCUUAACUGUGGGCUUGCGGUCGAUACGGGCAUCACUGGAGUUCGGCAGGGGAGACUGGAAUUCCUGGUGUAGCGGUGAAAUGCGCAGAUAUCAGGAGGAACACCGGUGGCGAAGGCGGGUCUCUGGGCCGAUACUGACGCUGAGGAGCGAAAGCGUGGGGAGCGAACAGG
RNAcentral lists this ribosomal RNA (254 nucleotides) under uncultured bacterium. RNAcentral's name for it is "partial 16S ribosomal RNA". It matches the Rfam family "Bacterial small subunit ribosomal RNA", at positions 524 to 776 of the family's 1533-position model. The record is from RNAcentral.